GUCUCCAGCUUCACGAUGUUUCCCUUGGCCAAAAAUGCACUGAGUCGUCUCGGAGAUUGUAUUACUUCUUCAUAUGUGCCCCUGAAGCCUUUUGAAAAGAACUGUAAAAAUAUUACUGUGGAGGUUGAAGAGUUUGUUCCAGAAAUGACAAAAUACUGUUACCCAUUUACUGUUUACAGAAACCAUCUGUAUGUAUAUCCCUUGCAAUUAAAAUAUGAUAGCCAGAAAACUUUUGCCAAGGUUAGUAGGGUAAGCUUUACAUUUUGGGGUAUAGAAUGUUCUUCAUAAUCUUAUAAUUUGGUGACUCAUUUUGAAUCAUCAUUUUAGGCAAGGAACAUUGCUGUCUGUGUGGAAUUCUGGGACUCAGAUGAAAGUGAUGCCAGUGCUCUAAAG
RNA transcript from Choloepus didactylus (southern two-toed sloth), 393 nucleotides. It is a transcript of the gene named cytochrome c oxidase subunit 7B, mitochondrial-like, with no coding region annotated. The transcript has 2 exons. NCBI's taxonomy places the organism in Eukaryota, Metazoa, Chordata, Mammalia, Pilosa, Megalonychidae. The record is from RefSeq and is a predicted model, not a curated record.